GACGAACGCUGGCGGCGUGCUUAACACAUGCAAGUCGAACGAAGUGGCGAACGGGUGAGUAACGCGUAAUCAACUUGCCCUUCAGAGGGGGACAACAGUUGGAAACGACUGCUAAUACCGCAUACUGAUGGGGGGGAUUGCGGCGGAUUAGCUAGUUGGAGGGGUAAAGGCCCACCGAGGCGAGGGUCAGUAGCCGGGCUGGGAGGAGGAACGAGCAAAUUGGGACUGAGACACGGCCCAGACUCCUACGGGAGGCAGCAGUGGGGAAUCUUCCGCAAUGGACGAAAGUCUGACGAAGCAACGCCGCGUGAGUGAUGACGGCCUUCGGGUUGUAAAGCUCUGUUAAUCGGGACGCGGUACCGGAAUAGAAAGCCACGGCUAACUACGUGCCAGCAGCCGCGGUAAUAC
This 408-nucleotide ribosomal RNA is filed under the name uncultured bacterium. RNAcentral's name for it is "partial 16S ribosomal RNA". It matches the Rfam family "Bacterial small subunit ribosomal RNA", at positions 28 to 526 of the family's 1533-position model. The record is from RNAcentral.